UCUUGGUCAUUUAGAGGAAGUAAAAGUCGUAACAAGGUCUCCGUAGGUGAACCUGCGGAGGGAUCAUUACAGAGUUCAUGCCCUCCGGGUAGAUCUCCCACCCACUGCUAUCACUACUCUCGUUGCUUUGGCGGGCCGCUGGGCCCUGCCCGGCCGCCGGCCCCGGCUGGCGCGUGCCCGCCAGAGACCUCACAGACUCUGAAUGUUAGUGUCGUCCGAGUAACUAUACAAUCGUUAAAACUUUCAACAACGGAUCUCUUGGUUCUGGCAUCGAUGAAGAACGCAGCGAAAUGCGAUAAGUAAUGCGAAUUGCAGAAUUCAGUGAGUCAUCGAAUCUUUGAACGCACAUUGCGCCCUGUGGUAUUCCGCAGGGCAUGCCUGUUCGAGCGUCAUUUCAACCCUCAAGCCUCGCUUGGUGUUGGGCCCUGCCCGCCGCGGCCGGCCCUAAAGAUAGUGGCGGCGCCGCCUGGCCCUCAGCGUAGUACAGCUCUCGCUCCAGGGUCCGGCGGCAGCCUGCCAGAACCCCCCAACUCCGUGGUUGACCUCGGAUCAGGUAGGGAUACCCGCUGAACUUAAGCAUAUCAAUAAGCGGAGG
This 595-nucleotide ribosomal RNA is filed under the name Oidiodendron sp. 1 RB-2011. RNAcentral describes it as "eukaryotic LSU rRNA". The stretch from base 239 to 392 matches the Rfam family "5.8S ribosomal RNA". RNAcentral also lists the same sequence under 1 other name. Lineage: Eukaryota; Fungi; Ascomycota; Leotiomycetes; Myxotrichaceae. The record is from RNAcentral.